ACCUGGUCUAGUGAAAGAUGUCCCUGCCCAUGAGGGAGGAGUUGAAACUACAUGGUCUUUAAGGUCCCUUCCAAUCCUAGCCAUUCUGUGAUUUAUGAUCAUUAGUCCAGUAAUAUAAUCUAAAAAUUGUUAAUUACUAGCAAAUUUUUAAAAUUGAAAACAUUCCCAAAAUGAUAGCAUAUCACUAUUACAUCUAUGUAAAUCUAGUGAAUGUUGCUACAAGGAAGGCUUACUGUGUUAGUUACUCUUUAGAAACAAACCAGUUUAUUAGGACAUGCUGAUAUAUUGCAUGUAGUUCUGUCUAAAUAUCUACUGAAGUGCAUCAAUCCAAAAGACUUAUCACCUCUAUGCAGAAUUUAACUUUUCAUGGUAGUGAGCCUCUCUGCUGAACACUUAUGUUGCCAGAUAACUUGGACUUAGGUGUCCCAGCAGGAGAGUUCAUGCAUUUACGGCAACUUUGCAUUUAGCCCUGUGUGUUUACACUACCCUGUUUUAUUUCUCUUAAUUUUAAAACAGUUUGGUACAGAGCCUGUGCUGAGUAACGUGUUAGGGGUUAGUUUAGGAUUUACUGGCUGGGAAGGAGGGCUGGGAGAGCAGGCCCUGUCUGAGAUGCAUGUGCCACUAAGGCCUGUGCUGAUGGGUAGUAGCCGUUUUGCCUCCUCAGCCCUGAUACAAAGAGUUUUGUCUCCACUUCAAUAUAGAUACCAAUUUCCUGGACCAGAUAUUUAAUUUUUUUUAUUAUUAUUAUUGUUACUAUUCAGAGGUGGGAAUAAGUUUAUUUUAGUGAAACAUAUUGAUGUUAAAUGCAGUGGUAUUGCAAGCUGUGGUAAGGACAAGGAACUAAAGAGCAUUCAGAACACAAAGAAUGAUUUUAUUUUUGUCAUAUUUUUAACUCAUUCUUUUACUGUUCUUCUCUUUUCUUCCUAUUUGGCCUUUUUUUUUUCUGAUGAGAUGCACUGCUUCUGAGCUACUGACACAGAAAAAUGUUGACAACACUGCGGAAAUAAUUGUACACCCUGCAGGGGUGAAACAGGUUUUACAUUGAUUAAACAACUUACAGGUUAAACUUCCUUGAGACAAAGACACUGAUACCUCCUUGCUUGUUGAGACCUCUGAAGUUACAUUUUUUGUGAAGGGGAUAUAUGCUUAAAGCAGCUUCUAAUCAUUCUGGGUUUCAACUGAAGCACUUCAACAAGGAAGAUGAAAAAUAUUCUCGUAAAAAAAUUCUAAAAUUUUAUUCCUAUUUUUGUAUCACUUAGGCUGGAAACAAGAUUCCAGCUGUCUGCGGUGUCUCUGUCCUGUUUGUUCAGUGCAGUGUAAAGAUGCUUUCUGAAAUGCAAGGCAACAGUGUGUUAGUUUUCCAUAUAUACUUUACAACAGAAAGGAAGUAGUUUUGUGUAUUUACUAAGUCCACAAAGAGCUGUCUUUUAACAACUGUUUUGUAACUGGUUAAAAUUAACUUCUUUCCAUUUUUAAAAAACACUACUUUAAAAAAAGGAAUACAAUGCUAAAGCAAAAUCCUUAAAGGAGGAUUAAUAAGAAGAUAAAAACCUUUUGAGAAAAAAAUGUGCCUCUUCUCAGUUUUGUAUCAGCUGCAAGGUGACAGUGGCAGGAUAUGACUGCUCUUGAAAUAGCUUCCUCAUGCAUUGAAGUAUAGAGUGGAAGGACUGUUAUACUCUAAAAUGCUGAGAAGCACGAAAAAGUAGACUAAACACUAAUUUUACCUUCUGUGACUACAAUGAAUCCGACUGGUAUUUAAUGCUUCAAAGUGAUUUUGGGGAAGUUGAUGAGAGACAUACUAGACUGCUCUUAUUUCUUGGCUGUGAGUGUAAAAGUAACUGUUGAGCCCUCAGUGAGGGCAGAACAAAAAGCUGUUGUUGGUUUGGUUUUAACUAACGUUGUCCUUGUGUUCCAUUCUAUCGCGAAGACUUCCUAUGCAGGGCUAGCUCCGUGUAUGGAAAUAUUGCAGUUUCUUUUUUACGUGAAGUAAUUUAGCUUUAACAGUAAUGUAAAAAAGGAAUAACAAGCAUAUUUCUCUGCUCUUACUCUCCUUAGGCUCCAAAUGCAGAAUACAUUAAAAAUAUGUUUUGGAGAACACCUGUGUGAGUCUAUAUAUCUGUUUCCUCUAGGGUACUGCAGUACUGGUUGGUAAACUGCUUUUUCUGUUGAGUAUGAGUAGCUAAAUGUGACUGCUGCAGCUUUAGACUUUGAUCUUCAUGUCAUUAAGAAUUGUAUCUUAAACAAAAUGUCAUGUUUCAUGCUCUUUCUUUCUGUGAAAUGGUGGUCCAGUCAAGCCUUUGAAUUUUGGUAGUGGGUAAUAAUAAAGAAAAGGCUUAAACUGGAUGAUAUAGUAGAGAUUAUUUUCCCAGUUUCUAGAAGAAAGCAGUUAGUCAUACUAUUAACUCUGUGGAAACAGUACUUUUAGCAUAAAGUAGAAGAAGAAGUAAGCAACAGGCACUUUAUCAAAAUGGUUGUACAAAUUAAUUUUCUUCUUGAAGUAUCUCCCCUGUUGCAUGAACAAUUCAAAAAAUAGACUAAUAAAAUACUUCAAGGGUGAAAGAAGUAUAGGAUCCUUAUUAAAGGCAGCUAGGGAAUUGAACACUUUGAAGAACAUUAUCAUUAUAAGUUCAAAAUAUCUUUAGAGUUAAGCACAGUAGUAACAGUCUAUCCGAUAAGGCAGUGCACAUUUCAGAAAGCUGAAAUUUUAGAUUAGGCCUAAUCAGUAACAACAUGAGGUUCUGGAAGAGGAAAACUGAUCCGAGCUUUCACAGUAAGAUAAUUGUCACACAGAUGGCUUUAAUGAUUUGAAUGUAUUCUCUUAAUUAGGAAAGGGAAGAACUGGAAAGGAUCAUUUGCAUCGUUAUUCAUCCCUCUGCAGUUGCAGAUGCUGAAAGAUGUCUGCUGUUACCUAAGCUGUGUAACUAUGCAAAAAUGCUUCUUGGCAGUAGCAAAUGCUGGCUGUCAGUUGAAGACCCAAACUCACCAUACCAAGUCAUGCAGGACUAGGGCAAAAGAGACGAAGUGUGUGGUAUAUUACUCUGGCAAAGGCAAUCCAUUUGUUUGUUUCCCACAUAAUAUCCAGAGGGCCAAAUGCCAUCCACAGUGAACAGCAGAAAGCCCUUCCCCUUCGCGCUAAAUCAAAGUCUUACCUUGCAGUUGAUCUCUAGCAUUCAGAAAAAUUGAGGAGAGGCUAUACUCAGGAAUUAGGAACAGCAAUAUUGAAUUAUGCAUACAGGAGAAAAAAAUAAUUGCUUUCUGGUCCCUGUAAGUGCUUGUUGAAAGCCAGUAAGUGUGAGGCAAUGUAGAUGAUGAAUAUGGCAACCAUGUCUCCCAUCAGAUCAUAAGACAUGUGGGUUCCUAUCUGAAGUUCAAAGCAUUGCUUCUUCUCCUGAAAAUUUAUUGAGUCAUAAGUUCCUUGCCAGAAUUUCUCUUUAGAAGGCAUUUGGGACUCCAAUCCGUCAAUGAUUAGGAACCUAAUUCCCAAUUCACAGCUUUGUUUAUCUUCUCAUAGUUUUAGCACUUGUCUGUCCUUCAGCCGGUUCCUUUUCUCAGCCUUCAUGUGGUUAGGCUACACCAACCAGCCAACCCCCCCCUAAGAUGUAAGGAUGAGCAAAAAGCAGAAUAAUCCAGAGGUGGUUAUUGCCUAUCCAGGAUAACAUCCCAUAAUCUAUGCUUUGAGCUGGAAAAUGAAAAUGUAGUUGAUUGCUAAGAUGGAUCUACCACAUCAUUAACUGCUGGAAAAUGAAUUAGCUGUGCUGUAUGUAUUGCUGAUGCUUCCUCCUGACAGCAUUACGGACCUUAGUACAAAAUGCUGUUCACGUGUUGUAAAGAAAUAUUUACUCCAUUAUACAAAUGCAGAAACUAAGACACAGACUCUUAAAAUGAUCACAGGAAGUUUGGGCUGUGGCAAGGAACAGGGUUCUUUAAUUUUAAGACUCUUUGCUCCAGGUAUGGUUUGACAUGGUGAUUUCAUACAUGAAGAGUCUGCUAUGAAACAAAACAAAACCACCAAGAAUUUCUUAGAGAAAUCAGGCUAGUGUUAUUGCACAGUCUUAAUGUAUGUGUCUAUCCAUCUUCUCAGUAAUUUCUGAACAUGUUGGGCCAGUUUAAUAAACUCAACAGAAAUAGAGCA
Lepidothrix coronata (blue-crowned manakin) is the source of this 4132-nucleotide long non-coding RNA. RefSeq lists it as uncharacterized. Lineage: Eukaryota; Metazoa; Chordata; Aves; Passeriformes; Pipridae. The transcript has 2 exons. The record is from RefSeq and is a predicted model, not a curated record.